GCCACUUAAUAAGGACUGAGAUUCUUGGGUGGCAGAAAAAUCCUGGUGUGCUAGAUUCUUAGUCACUUUAAACUGCAUAGAAGUAAUGAGCAUAGGCUUCAGUAUAUUUAAUAAGGUGCUGAGGCAGCAGAUUCAAAUGCAAAAGAGGGAGGAACCAGUUAUUCCAAGGCAGGAUGAUGCACCCCCACACAGAGUGUGGAAAAAUUAAAGUGAAACAAAGAUUUGGACAGUGUCAUUAGGAAGCCUGAGGAGAACAUGCUACAAGGCCAGAUCCUGUCCUAUGGAAAAUAAAAAAGAUCAGCAGAACUAAAGCAAAAGCAGUCAUCUCCAGUGUGUGGGCCUUAGCAAAGAGUAAACCAAAUACCUCUCCUUGUGUUAGGAGCACUGUUAUAUUCCCAGCUCAGAGAUGAUUGUGUGCUGGGAAAUGCUUAUAUUCAUUAUUUCCCAACUAAUGCAUUUGGACAUAUGUAUUCCAGUUUUUCAAAGACACUACCCAAAGCUUCUUUACAUUUGCAUUGGUUAUAUUUAAUAUUUCUUAAGCUAAGAUCACUGAUUAUCCACACGUUAUUAGAAAUCUUUGGUUACAGUGAGGCUUAACCUGGGCUAAAGUCUCCUAAAUGGGACUACACUUAGAUCCGCCCUAUUUCACCUUUGGACUAACGUUGACUAAAUGGCUCCUAGAGUUACCCACAGAGGGAGCUUACUAUGAUGAGAGCUACUGUGGGGAAACAUAGUAUUCAACAGAGAAAUGGAAGAAUACAAGUAGCAAUGUUCCUUGUCUUCAAUAACAUUUGAGGGAAAGGAAUCUAGAAAUCCUAAAGCUUAGUCAGGGUGCCUAAGGUAAGACACAAAAAGAAAGAGACAUCCAGAAAGGAAGGUUGAAAGGAAAUGAAGGGCAGUAACAAAGCACCAAUGUAAAAUGACCCAUAGCCAACAAUAAAUGCAAUAACAAUAAAGGAAACUAACCCUCACAAAGGGUUUGAGGAGCUUCCUGCUGUGUGUCCUUAAACAGUGCGUGCCUCUUAAGUCUCUACAACACUUUUUUAAAGGGCAUUGAAUUGGACAUUGGUUUAAUUUUUACCUACGCUCCCUAUAAUCUCAGGAGGUAACCAUUAUUUAAUCAGAAUUACCCUUGCUCUGUUUAUCUGUGAGGCCUCAGACACAACGGUGGUUCAGCCCUCUCCCUAAGCAGUAGCAAGCUGAGUAAUGGCACACAUAUGUCUAGGAUAGCCAGCAUUCAGGAAAAUUGCUGUGAACCUCCUGUUUUUAAUUUUAAUAUAGAAAAAGUCUUUCAGGUUUGUGACACGAAGACAGAUUUAGCUUCCCACUUGUCAGCAAAUUUGUAAAAACCUCAAAACAAAUGAAUAUUUGGAAUUCACUCUAAGAGAUACAAAUCCUGAAUUUCUAACUAUCUUCUCAAAUAUUACUGAGGCCAGCAAGAUGCAAGUGUUCUACAAAAUAAUGAACUGUUC
Molecule: long non-coding RNA, 1472 nt
Filed under: Homo sapiens (human)
Lineage: Eukaryota; Metazoa; Chordata; Mammalia; Primates; Hominidae
Description: long non-coding RNA NONHSAT249431
Source: RNAcentral